Long non-coding RNA from Asterias rubens (European starfish), 877 nucleotides. RefSeq lists it as uncharacterized. The record is from RefSeq and is a predicted model, not a curated record. The transcript has 3 exons. NCBI's taxonomy places the organism in Eukaryota, Metazoa, Echinodermata, Asteroidea, Forcipulatida, Asteriidae.
CAAGACUUGCUUCGAAAGGACUCUGUGGGUGACUUUGAUUGUUGUUGCUUGACCCUACAGCCCUGCACCAACCCAGUCAUAACAUUGACUUUUCAACAUUCCUCAUGACACACUGAGCAUCAUGAGGUGGACUCAACAUACAAGCAACAUGUGACAGUAAACUGAAGAUGUAGAGGCAUCACAGAAAUACAAUGAACUCCUUGGCACUAUUGGACCCAGACAGAUUCCUAACAUCUACUGCUAUUUGAAAUGAUCAAACCAUGGAGGAGUACAUUGAGUGGUAGAUUCUAAUGAUGGCCAAGAUGAACUGCUCAUAACACAAACUCAGAAGUGUGAAGUUUCCAACACAACCUUAACUGAAGCUCUUCGAUGUCUGUUCGCCCAGCGCCUUGCCAUGAACUACUGCGUGUUGUUUCAACUCAGGGAAUUAUGUGACUACAGGGCGACUACAUGUAACUGGAUCGCUUUGAUGUCUGUUCACCUCUCGUUGAUAACACUCACCAUGAACUACUGUUUGGUUUUACCAACCCAGGGAAGUAGGCAUCUACAAGACGUCAAUGCUGGAACAUUUCUUGACACUGCAGACAAACACUGAACUAAGGAUCUUGGCCAUCAGACUGAGAUGGCAAUUGACAGAGGAGGUGAUUUCUACAAGGACUCUUGGAAAUCCAACCAGUGUUCAUCAUUUUCAUCAAACAGUGUUUAAAGCAUGGAACGUUUCUUUGUUGAUACUAACAAUCUGUGAAUGACUUCUUGGCUUCUUUAGGCCAAGUAUUAUAUGUCAUCAAUUAAUGGAACACUUAAGUGACACCAUGAUGACAUGAUAUGAGACUUUGCUCUUUGUGUGGAGAUGCAGAACAUUUAUAGAUAACUUUUU